UACGGGGGGAGCAAGCGUUGUUCGGAUUUACUGGGCGUAAAGGGCGCGUAGGCGGCCAGCGCAAGUCAGUUGUGAAAUCUCCGGGCUUAACUCGGAAAGGUCAACUGAUACUGCGCGGCUAGAGUGCAGAAGGGGCAACUGGAAUUCUCGGUGUAGCGGUGAAAUGCGUAGAUAUCGAGAGGAACACCUGCGGCGAAGGCGGGUUGCUGGGUGACACUGACGCUGAUGCGCGAAAGCCAGGGGAGCGAACGGG
This 253-nucleotide ribosomal RNA is filed under the name uncultured bacterium. RNAcentral describes it as "partial 16S ribosomal RNA". It matches the Rfam family "Bacterial small subunit ribosomal RNA", at positions 524 to 776 of the family's 1533-position model. The record is from RNAcentral.